Molecule: unclassified non-coding RNA, 253 nt
Filed under: uncultured Chlamydiales bacterium
Lineage: Bacteria; Pseudomonadati; Chlamydiota; Chlamydiia; Chlamydiales
Description: contains 16S-23S intergenic spacer region
Rfam family: Bacterial small subunit ribosomal RNA
Source: RNAcentral
UACGGAGAGUGCAAGCAUUAAUCGGAAUUAUUGGGCGUAAAGGGCGCGUAGGCGGAAAAAUAAGUCAGAUGUGAAAUUCCAAAGCUCAACUUUGGAGCUGCAUUUGAAACUGUAUUUCUAGAGGAUUGACGGAGAAAACGGAAUUCCACGUGUAGCGGUGAAAUGCGUAGAUAUGUGGAAGAACAUCGGUGGCGAAAGCGGUUUUCUAGUUAAUACCUGACGCUGAGGCGCGAGAGCAAGGGGAGCAAACAGG